CCUACGGGAGGCAGCAGUGAGGAAUAUUGGUCAAUGGGCGCGAGCCUGAACCAGCCAAGUCGCGUGAGGGAAGACGGUCCUAUGGAUUGUAAACCUCUUUUGUCGGGGAGCAAAAGACGCCACGCGUGGCGUUCCGAGAGUACCCGAAGAAAAAGCAUCGGCUAACUCCGUGCCAGCAGCCGCGGUAAUACGGAGGAUGCGAGCGUUAUCCGGAUUUAUUGGGUUUAAAUGGUGCGCAGGCGGAAGAUCAAGUCAGUGGUAAAAUUGAGAGGCUCAACCUCUUCGAGCCGUUGAAACUGGUUUUCUUGAGUGAGUGAGAGGUAGGUGGAAUGCGUGGUGUAGCGGUGAAAUGCAUAGAGAUCACGCAGAAUACCGAUUGCGAAGGCAGCAUACCGGCGCUCAACUGACGCUCAUGCACGAAAGUGUGGGUAGCGAACAGGAUUAGAUACCCGUGUAGUC
RNAcentral lists this ribosomal RNA (459 nucleotides) under uncultured bacterium. RNAcentral describes it as "partial 16S ribosomal RNA". It matches the Rfam family "Bacterial small subunit ribosomal RNA", at positions 338 to 795 of the family's 1533-position model. The record is from RNAcentral.